Long non-coding RNA from Dunckerocampus dactyliophorus (ringed pipefish), 8240 nucleotides. RefSeq lists it as uncharacterized. Lineage: Eukaryota; Metazoa; Chordata; Actinopteri; Syngnathiformes; Syngnathidae. The record is from RefSeq and is a predicted model, not a curated record. The transcript has 4 exons.
CUGUUGUGGUCAUGGCUACCAAGCUAGCUAACUUGAGCUGCUAUACCGUGAACAAUAGAAUAAACAGAAGAAGCUAACCGUGUGAGGAAAACACGACGACAGGAGCAAUAUGUUUUAACAAGGAAUACACACUUGAAGUCCGCCAAGGUUUCCCUCACCUUCUGCACGACGGCCUCAUCAUCCUCCACGGCCUUGGAGCACUGACGGUGCACUCGGCCGUGCAGCUCCUCCAGACACUUCUGCGAUAUGACCGAAUACGGUGUGGCUCAUAAAGUGUCCACUGAGCCUCUUACUGUUGCUGAGCCACCUUCUGCUGCUGCACGGCUUCAUCGUAGCCACAGUUCACCUUCUUCUCCAGGAGUUUGCAAUGGUUCUCGGCCGCCUCGACCUCGGCCGCCCAGCCCUGCUCCUCUCUGGCCAGCUCCUGCGCACAGCAGCAGUUGUGAGACAAAAAGUAGGUAGCGGACAGCAGGACAAGUGAAUUGUUUGCCUUAUUAUGUACAGGCUUGAUAUUUAAUGUAACUUUAGUGACUUUUAUUUAUCAGGUGUUUCAUCCUCUAUUUGUGCUCAAUGCAGAGAUAUAAGUGGAAUGUCUAAGUUUGCGGCCAAUUUUGUUAUUUAUUUUUGACUUUACUCCACAGUUGAAUGCACUCUGCACAUAUGGUUAUGUGUAUUUUCAGAGAUUUUUCAAAUAUAAAUGUGACUUCUAUACAAGUGGGUGGAGACUUAAAGGAAAACUGCAUGUUUUUUUUUUUUUUUAAACUUUGCCAAUCAUCCACAGUCCUUAUGUGAAACAUGAACACUUUCCCUUUUCUGUGUGUUCUAAAGAGAGAAAAACAGCCAGCAUGAGGCAGACAACAAUGCACGUCAUGGGACCCCCCCAAUAAAGCCCUCUGAAUACCCUCCAAAAAUGCCAAUAAUGUUCCAUUUACACGUGACCUGCAUUUUAACCAAGCUACAGUAGCAUUGUCACUGUCGGAGGUAACACCAAAGACCUACUUUUAUGGCGUAGUGACACAGCGCCUCGCAUGUGUAUAGUAGAAGACUGUGGCAAUAAGCUGAAAAGUUGGUCAAGUAGUGGAUAGCGGCUCUCAACAUCGCUAGGAUGACUUGGCUAGAUGCUCAUCUCAGCAUUUUUGCCAUGAUUAGAGGGAGCAAAUGCUCUCUCUAUGUUGCUGUUGUUGACGGAAGUAGCGUUCGUUUCUAUGUUGCUACGUGAAAUCAAUACACACAGGAUGGAAGUUCCAGAAAUGCUUAAAAGGACCAAAAUAUGGCAAAAUACUGUAAGUAUUACAUGUUAUCAUGAAUGUACCCGUUACCACAUGGUCACAGCAUGGAUAUAAAACCAUCAUUGGAGGUGUUUUAAUAGAGGGCUUUAUAGGCGGACUAGGUGAAUCCUUUUACUUGCAUUGUUGGCUGCCUCAAGUUUUCCUUCUACUUAGAACACAUAGAAAAGAGAAAAACAUGUGUUCAUGUCUCACAUAAGGGUUGGAGAUGAUGGGCAAAAAGUGCAGUUUUCCUUUAAUGCCCAUGGGGAAAAUGAUAAUACCUGCUGGUCAGAAUCCAAGCGUUCAUCCACCUUGCGGAUCUGCUCUCUCAGCUGCUUCAGGUCAUUGUUCUUGUCCAAGAUGUCCGAGUUCAGCUAGAAGAGACAAUGAGGAGAAAUAAUGACAGCAGAUUUGGAUAUGACCGCUGCAAACUUGCCACCCUUUUUUGUUUUGUUUUGAGUCAGUAGGGAUAAGAGUAUGCCAACAGGUUGGCCGUGUGAUGGUUUUUAGUCACCUGUUCACAAGUCUCCUGCAGGCUGAGCUUCAUGUUGGCCAGUCGACUGUUCUCCUCCUCCACGUCACUGACCAGCUUUCUGAGGAGAUUCUACAAAACAUAUAGCAGAUAAGAGCAAAUCAACUCCAUCUUACAUCUGACCUGUCCAGGCUUAUCCCAUUAAAUGUAGAUGAGGCCAUCAAGUACCUGUGUUUGUGUCAUACGCUGGAUGUUCCCGGGUCCGCAUUCAAACGGCCUGAGCUCAAAGUCGCGGCCGCCAGCGUUCUCCGCAGACACCGGUAUCAACUUGAGUUUACGGGCCAGCUUGUGGUACUCGGCCAGCUUCAAGUCGGCCUGGAACCGGUUAACAAGACAGCCAUGGUGUUAUAUUAGGAAUUUCAAGAAAAAGGAGGAUAAACUUGUCAUCUAAGUGGAUCAUUAGCUAGCUGCUCCCCAGCCACAACAUUAGCUACACCUACCUCAGAAACAAAUGUAAUGUUUCACAUGUAUUCCCUAAAACUGUGGCAGCUGCGUACUGUAUUGCACUUGCAUGUGAACGAUACCUUCUCUUUAAUUUUAGCCAGCUCAAUCUCCUCAUUCCAUUUGUGCUGCUCGGCAUUUUCCAGAGCCUUGCUGAGGCUGGCAAUGGUCUGUUGGAGCUCCCUCUUCUCUCGGUUGAUCCUCUCCACGUCAGCCGGCGUGAACUUCUGGUCCUGCAAGAUGUUUUGCAGAUCCACCUUCUCUUGUUUGAGGAGCUCCAGAGAGCUGGCUGCGGAAAACCCAACAGGAGCCCAUAAGCCAAAGCGAUUUGAACACAACAGGAAUGGUCACAGUGAUUACUAAAAUGAAGACGUUCUGAUUUCUACGGCAGCUCAUUGGGGCAGCAAAAUAGUCGAGCCUGAAUUCCUAGCUGGCUGACAAGUCUUAAUGGCGACUGGACUACUAUAUUUCCUCAAAUAGCGGCCUUCAUACUAGAUACAAACUAGAAACGGUGAUAUUGUCAGUCCACUGCUGCUAUUGUUCACACUUGUGAACUUUGCUGCUAACCAAAACAGAAGCACCUACCAAUGCAUGUGUAAAGUGUGUCAUGACCGCAUGUUGCAAAGGAGUUCCCUGAACAUUAUCAUCAUUUUACUUUUUGUGGAGACCUGUGUCUGCCUCUGUUCUUGUCAUUUCUCUGCUUUUCUUUAUAAUAACCCUUUUUUUUUUCUAGUGGUAUUGCCGUGGUCAUAAAAGCAGCUACUGCCACCGAGACCCAGAGAAACUGUAUGCUUACAACAGCUGUCUUACCAGCGUGGUUCAGCUCAUCAGUCAGCUCUGAGGCUUUGGCCUGCAAGUUAUUUUCGAAGGACUCCAGAUUACUGCGAUAGUCCUGAAGCUUCUUGAGGUCACACUGCAGCUUCAUCUUCUCCAUCCUCUUGCUCGUUAGACGGUCCUAUCGGGGCAGAGGAAUGCGACUGAGGAUCAUUACAUCGCACACAACAUACAUGCAGUGCCGGAUUUAGUGUGGCAGGUUGAGAGCGACUCCUCUGACCUUUUGGCUCUCUUUCUCUAGCCUUUCAAUCUCUUCAGUCAGUAUCCUGUUCUUCUCCUCCAUGGAGUUCAGCAGGUCGUCAUCAACAUUGUACAGCUUCUCUGUGACAGCACAAACAUCAAUAUCAUCGUCAACCUGUCCAUAAUAGCUUUACUUCAAAGCAGAGACUGCGCUUACUCAGUUUACUGAGAAAAAUCUCGUCGUCAUCCUCAAAGGUGUCGACACCCUGCAUGAAUUUGGCGUACGUCUCGGCUGUGUAAUCAUGCAAGAGCUGCACGGUAAGCAGACAUGGGCGAAGAGGGAAGAACAUUUUAGAUGAGAGGCUGGAGUUUUUGACGGGGGUCUUGUAUUGGUUGUGCUGGCACCUUGUUGUACUCCUCUUCAACGCUGUCGCUGUCCUCACGGAAGUCACUGAAGAGCAAGUCCUGCUUGCUCAGGUUCCAGUAGAUCUGACACCACAGACAGAGGGUGUUCAGCAGGAUAUUAUGUGUUGUGUUUAAACCACCAAUUUCGGUGGAAAUGCUGUUUGCUGCUUACCUUGACGGUGUCAAUCAACCACAUGAGAGCACCCAGAGCCUGAGGCCAUGUAUGGGGGGCACCAACAGAGUACAUGGAGCACUUGGAGAGGACAAAGGGAUAUCUACAGUACAUGAAAAAAAGAAAGAAUUAAAUAUAUUUAUUAGGAAGAUUUGUUAAAGAAGAUAAGUGUUAUGAUGUCUAACCCCAGGCCCUUGAGCAGAGCAGGAACCUCCUCCUCCACUUUGGAGUUGGGCAUUUCGAAAGUGGGGUCCAGCUGGCGGUAGAUGAACUCAAACAUCUUGACAAACUCUUUGGUGGAAGGUGACUGGAGGGUCUUGGGGGACAAGGGGCCCGGGUAGCCGUGCUCUGUCAUAAACUAUCGCAGAGAAACGCAAUUGCUGUUAUUCUUACAUACACUUUCUUAGCCACAGAUAUUGUAUACAGUAUAUACUGUGUGUUAAGACAAGUAUGCCUUUUACUCUUAAGUUCCCAAAGUGGGGUACGCAUACCCUCAGGGGUACGCCAAUUGUCAUUGGGGGUACGUGAAUAAAAAUGAAAAACAAUUAGCGCCUAACACUCACAAUUACGAGUGCACCGUCAUAGCGGACAGAAGGAAGGAGACACGGCAUGAAGUUCCUCAUUGCUCUGUGUGAGUUCCAUGAAUUUGUAAGUUUGAUGUUUAUGUUGUGUAUUAAGAGUGUUUAAUCUUGUUGGUUUAACUUCUAUUGGUGUUCCAAUACCCGCACUGUGAAAACCUGUCCAUGUAUGUGUUAGUGGGGAUUACCCUGAAAAUGAGGCUUUAUCGCUGCUUGUAUGUAUUUUUGUACUUUGGAUACUGUUUAUCAUGUUUGUUCAACUUUCCCUUUCAAUUUGGUAUCAAAUUAACAUGCAGAUUUAAAUCAAUCAUCAUUGCAAGUGGACAAAAGUGAAGCUCUGGUUCAACCCAUUUAAAAAGGGUGGGAUCCCAACAUCCGGCUGAAAUAAAAGACCAAUACUUAGAUACUUUAUUCAAGAGAAAUUAACAUCUUAUGUAUCAGUGCUCAUCAAAAUUUGACCAUCUACAAUACUAAUCUUUAACCCAGAACAGACUUACUAUAAAAUGAAUUAACCAAUUGAUCAUGUUUCACAUUUCAAUUUAAUGAAAUGCAAAAGUGGUUUAUGUUUUUUUAAGUGUGCAGCAGUAGGGGGGUUCAUGGCUUCAAGUCAAAUGUCUGAAGGGGUAUGCGACUGUAAAAGGUUUGGGAACCAUUGCCUUAUAUGAUAGAAGGCACCAUCACAUUUAUGAAUGUGAUAUUAAAGCUACUCUACCCUCAUGAUCAAAAUUUGAAGACCACUUGAAAAAUUGCAAGAAUUUACUUUUUGCACUGUUGGAUCUUGAGGAGGUUCUAAGCAGAACUUCAAAAUGCAAAAAUAAGAAAUGGGAGUGAGACAAAAAAUGUAGGGAAUUCAUUGCAAACAAGCAUUCAAGUGAAAUAGGCUGUUCAUCAACUGAUCAAAACAUUAAGACCACAGCUCAAAAAACCCUGAAACUCCCCUGAAAUAGAAAUAUAAUGUUCAAAAAAGGGCUCAGUAAUGAGUAGCUGUGGCAUUCUUGUUAAUCACCUCAAAAAUGGGUUUGGGCAUGCUUGAUGCCAGUGUUUCCAGGAGGCUAGUGAGAAUGUUGCUCAAGGUUGAGAAGAUGGCUUCACGGAGGGCAUCCACUGUCUGAAACUCAUGUCCAUUUUUGUAAACUUGUUCUCAACUGUAUCUCAAUCAGAGAAACAAGCAGAAUGGUCCAAAAGAGUGAGCUUAUUCUUUGUCAGGCGGGCAUUGCAGUGUUGUCCUGUUGAAAAAGCCAGUCAUUACCACACUGACGAGGGCCUUCAGUCAUGAGAGAUGCCGCCUGCAACAUCUCCACAUAGCAAGCUGCAUUUGACACCCCUGCACAACCUGAAGCUCCAUUGAAAGAAAAAGUACCCCAGAUCAUGAUGGCGCUGCCUCCACUGUGCCGUGCGGAAAGCAUCUCAGGUGGGAUCUCCUUGUCAUGCCAGUAACGUUGGAGGCUGUCAGGACUGUCAAGGUUCCAUUUUUUCCAGGGAAUAAAACUUUGCUCCACCUUUCAAUGUCCUAUGUUUGGUAGGGAUGUCCCGACCCGAUCUCCAGGAUCGUGAUCAGCUGCCGAUCCGCUGUAUCUUGAGGAUCGGAUAAUAUCGGCUUCCGCCACGAUCCGGUUGCCGUAUAAUGUUCUUAACCCUAGGCCACACUCCAACAUGGUAGGUGCAGUAAUGUGCCGCAAAGCUGGUUGCCACUCGACUCCCGCCACACGCAAGAAGAUGAAAAUGCACCAACACCAUGCAGACAUGUCCGCGGUCUACCGCGGUGAAGUUAGUUUCACGUUGGACAUUUGGCUCCGUAGCUACAGCGGUAGUUCCCCCUUACUGUGACAUUGUGCCGGGAGCUCACAGGGGAAGUGGUGCUCUGACCUUGUUUAUACUAGGGACCAUCAAUAAAUAUUAUUACAUUGAAGAGAGUUUGUUAAAAUGUUAAAAAUUAAAAAAAAAAAAGACUCAUAUUGUAAAUCACAGCACAAAUUAAUCUAUAACCAUGUCAAAUGAUUAGUCCUACCCUAAAUGUUUUUUGCAUGCCCAUUUUUUUUUAAAUACUAUUUUAUCUUUUAUUGGAUUAGGGACCUGACUCACGGAGGUUUGUUACAAAUGCAAAACAAUACUGUUGGUAAAAAAGUAAAUUCAGCAGUACUUUGGUUGCAUUAUUUUUUAAUGCUUUGACGAGGCAUUUUCAUAACCAUAUUCAAUCCCACAAGAUCAGUACCAGAUCAAAAACACUAUUAAAAAAAUAAAAUAAUCGGCUCAGAAAAUACAAAAUACAGAUCGGGACAUCUCUGGUGAUAUCUUGCCAAUUUGGCGUUGAAGGAGACAAGGCCUUUGAUGAGGUUUUGUUCUUAAAGGCAGUCUCUCGCAGAUGCCGUUGGUUAUUGGACUCCAUUCGGCACCAGUGACAACCUUAAUUUGGGCCAAAGAUUGUCCCGUUUCUUGACGGACAGCCAAUAGCAUGAUCCAGCUCAGGACCGGUGUCAUUUUUUUGGGUCCAUAUCCCUCAAGAGCUUUGAAGAAGUUUCAAAUGACUGUUCCAACCUCAGAAGCAAUGGCGCGCUGUGAGAGCCAAUCCGUCCACGUUCAAGAAAGCUUUUUUUGCCUUUCACACAAGAGGUCAUGACAGCGUGAAUACCUUACAGAAAAUGUCAUUGAAUCCAAAUUUUUGCCAAGAUUUUGGCUUUUAAAGGCUGUGGUCUUAAACUUUUGAUCAGCUGAUGGGGAACAGCCAAUUUCAUUUUUUUAUAAUAAAUAUUUACUAAAAAAAUGUUUUGUCUCACUCCCAUGUCUUCUUUUGCAUUUUGAAGCUCUACUUAGAAUCUCCUUAAGAUACAGCACAAAUUGUAAAUUCUUGCAAUUUUUCAACUGGCCUUAAAAUUUGCAUUCGGAGUGUAUAAGUUGUUGUUUUAUUAAUAUUUGUAGAAAUAUCCGCCGUUUUGCAGUACAAUGACGUCACUAGUUGCACAGAGAUAAUUGCCUUUUGUCAGCCAUGCCAGCUCCAUGCGGAAUAUCUCUUCCUUCCCACUAGUCUAGAAUGCAUCAUUACCUCGAAGUGCAACUCGUGACAUCAUUGCAACGCAACACAGCGGGCCCCAUGGUGAUAUGUCAUUAAAUAUAAAAAAAUAUAUAUACUUUUUUUUUGUUUUUACCUCAUGCAGCUGUCUUAUACACUGCUGCACAAAAGACUUGUCAUGUAGCGGUCGAGCGUCUUUGAUCUUCUCAGUUCCUCCAAAGCCAGACAUGGUGCUUGAGCGUGGCAUGCUGGCUCCACUCAUGCUAAAGUCGACCACAACCACAACUUUUUAACAUAUCCAUUUGUUGGUUAAGACACAAUUACAUAUACAAUAUGUUGUGUUGUCCCUUCCAUAUACAGUUACACAUGAUUGGUAUACAGCAGGGGUGUCCAAGGUGUGGCCAAGGGGGCAUUCUCUACCUGUAGCUUUUUUGGGCACUUUUUUGACCAUUGUAACAAGAAAAUUAAUUUUCUUUGUUACCUGUAACACAAAACCAAGAUGUUUUCUUCAGAUAGCUUAGCAUAUAUUGACUUACAUUGGAUGGGCUUUAGCAUCUUUAAUGCACAAAAUAUAUCAAAGUGACCCCCCCUGCAUCCUUCAAUUUUUCUGUAUGCGGCCCUCUACGGAAAAAGUUUGGACACGCCUGGUAUACAGCAAUAUGCGUAGCUACAAACACCACAUGAUGAUUACUGAUACAUCUUGAUCUUGUUUAUGUGGCUCACCUACCGUGGACCAAAAAAGCUUGUCCUCCUCUCAGAUGUCCCAGACUGUUGUUUGGCUAUGCUGAGCUUUCCAAAUGAAGGCUGUUUGCUGGUCAUUAAC